Molecule: long non-coding RNA, 765 nt
Filed under: Homo sapiens (human)
Lineage: Eukaryota; Metazoa; Chordata; Mammalia; Primates; Hominidae
Description: HSALNT0370799
Source: RNAcentral
AAAAGAUGGAAAAUCGGGGAGGCGGUGAGGAAAUUGAGGCCAAGAGAGAGGUAAAGAGUCGUGCUCUAGCCCAUGAAAGAAGGAAGCAACAGAGCCCAGAUUCAACUUCAGGUGUUUCUAACUCCAAAGCCUGAACCAAACUGCCUUCCUCUGAUUGGCAUUGGUACCUGGAACUUCACCUGUUCCAAGGAGCUGAUAUUUGCAAGGUGCCGUGGCUGAGGCAGGAGAAUCGCUUGAACCUGGGAGGCAGAAGUUGUGGUGAGCCAAGAUCGUGCCAUUGCACUCCAGCCUGGGCAAUAGAGGGAGACUCCGUCUCAAAAAAAAAAAAAAAAAAAAAAAAAAGCGGCAAAAGGCACCAAGACCCAGUGCUUCCCUGACCUCUGUUCCCUCUAAAUCAGCAUCUAUCACAGUAGAUCAACCUGGAUAAAGCCAGGAUUCACAGCAGAAGUGGCACCUCAGACACCAAAGCAGCUUUCCUUCUCAAAGCUUUUAAACAUCAUUGGGAAAACUUAGAGCAAAUCAAACCAAUGUUUUUCAAUACAUGGAAGGAAAGAUGUGUGUGCUUGGUUUUGUUUUUUGCUGAGACCCAAACAUUGUUAGUGCAAGCCCCCGCCAGGGGUGCAGGUGGAGUCAAAGCUGAAUGAAGAGCUCGUCUUCAAUGUAGCUCUCCAAGCUUUCAGAGCAAGACAACCAUGGACCAUCCUCUUCUUCAGACUGGCCUGUCUUCUUCUUGAACAAUGUCACUUUGCUCCUCACUGCUGUCAU